This 1363-nucleotide ribosomal RNA is filed under the name uncultured bacterium. Its description in RNAcentral is "bacterial SSU rRNA". It matches the Rfam family "Bacterial small subunit ribosomal RNA". The record is from RNAcentral.
AGAGUUUGAUCCUGGCUCAGGAUGAACGCUGGCGGCGUGCCUAAUACAUGCAAGUCGAGCGAACCACUUUGGUGGUGAGCGGCGAACGGGUGAGUAACACGUAGGUCAUCUGCCCAUCAGACGGGGACAACGAUUGGAAACGAUCGCUAAUACCGGAUAGGACGAAAGUUUAAAGGUGCUCUUGGCACCGCUGAUGGAUGAGCCUGCGGCGCAUUAGCUAGUUGGUAGGGUAAAGGCCUACCAAGGCGACGAUGCGUAGCCGACCUGAGAGGGUGAACGGCCACACUGGGACUGAGACACGGCCCAGACUCCUACGGGAGGCAGCAGUAGGGAAUCUUCGGCAAUGGGCGAAAGCCUGAUGCAGCGACGCCGCGUGAGGGACGAAGGCCUUCGGGUUGUAAACCUCUUUCAGCAGGGAAGAAGCGAAAGUGACGGUACCUGCAGAAGAAGCGCCGGCUAACUACGUGCCAGCAGCCGCGGUAAUACGUAGGGCGCAAGCGUUAUCCGGAAUUAUUGGGCGUAAAGAGCUCGUAGGCGGUUUGUCGCGUCUGCUGUGAAAGCCCGGGGCUCAACCCCGGGUCUGCAGUGGGUACGGGCAGACUAGAGUGCAGUAGGGGAGACUGGAAUUCCUGGUGUAGCGGUGAAAUGCGCAGAUAUCAGGAGGAACACCGAUGGCGAAGGCAGGUCUCUGGGCUGUAACUGACGCUGAGGAGCGAAAGCAUGGGGAGCGAACAGGAUUAGAUACCCUGGUAGUCCAUGCCGUAAACGUUGGGCACUAGGUGUGGGGGACAUUCCACGUUUUCCGCGCCGUAGCUAACGCAUUAAGUGCCCCGCCUGGGGAGUACGGCCGCAAGGCUAAAACUCAAAGGAAUUGACGGGGGCCCGCACAAGCGGCGGAGCAUGCGGAUUAAUUCGAUGCAACGCGAAGAACCUUACCAAGGCUUGACAUGAACCGGAAAGGCCUGGAAACAGGUCCCCCACUUGUGGCCGGUUUACAGGUGGUGCAUGGUUGUCGUCAGCUCGUGUCGUGAGAUGUUGGGUUAAGUCCCGCAACGAGCGCAACCCUCGUUCUAUGUUGCCAGCGGGUUAUGCCGGGGACUCAUAGGAGACUGCCGGGGUCAACUCGGAGGAAGGUGGGGACGACGUCAAAUCAUCAUGCCCCUUAUGUCUUGGGCUUCACGCAUGCUACAAUGGCCGGUACAAAGGGUUGCGAUACUGUGAGGUGGAGCUAAUCCCAAAAAGCCGGUCUCAGUUCGGAUUGAGGUCUGCAACUCGACCUCAUGAAGUUGGAGUCGCUAGUAAUCGCAGAUCAGCAACGCUGCGGUGAAUACGUUCCCGGGCCUUGCACUCACCGCCCGUCAAG